GAUGAACGCUAGCGGCAGGCUUAACACAUGCAAGUCGAGGGGUAUAGUUCUUCGGAACUAGAGACCGGCGCACGGGUGCGUAACGCGUAUGCAAUCUACCUUUUACAGAGGGAUAGCCCAGAGAAAUUUGGAUUAAUACCUCAUAGUAUGUGAGAAUCGCAUGGUUUUCACAUUAAAGUUCCAACGGUAAAAGAUGAGCAUGCGUCCCAUUAGCUAGAUGGUAAGGUAACGGCUUACCAUGGCGACGAUGGGUAGGGGUCCUGAGAGGGAGAUCCCCCACACUGGUACUGAGACACGGACCAGACUCCUACGGGAGGCAGCAGUGAGGAAUAUUGGACAAUGGGCGCAAGCCUGAUCCAGCCAUGCCGCGUGCAGGAUGACGGUCCUAUGGAUUGUAAACUGCUUUUGUACAGGAAGAAACACUCCCUCGUGAGGGAGCUUGACGGUACUGUAAGAAUAAGGAUCGGCUAACUCCGUGCCAGCAGCCGCGGUAAUACGGAGGAUCCAAGCGUUAUCCGGAAUCAUUGGGUUUAAAGGGUCCGUAGGCGGUUUAAUAAGUCAGUGGUGAAAGCCCAUCGCUCAACGGUGGAACGGCCAUUGAUACUGUUAAACUUGAAUUAUUAGGAAGUAACUAGAAUAUGUAGU
This 645-nucleotide ribosomal RNA is filed under the name uncultured Flavobacterium sp. Its description in RNAcentral is "bacterial SSU rRNA". It matches the Rfam family "Bacterial small subunit ribosomal RNA", at positions 28 to 674 of the family's 1533-position model. Lineage: Bacteria; Pseudomonadati; Bacteroidota; Flavobacteriia; Flavobacteriales; Flavobacteriaceae. The record is from RNAcentral.